ACAGAUAACGGCGAGUGAAGCGGCAACAGCUCAAAUUUGAAAUCUGGCCUCUUUGGGGUCCGAGUUGUAAUUUGUAGAGGAUGUUUCGGGCACCGCUCCGGUUUAAAUUUCUUGGAACAGAAUGUCAAAGAGGGUGAGAACCCCGUCUUGGACCGGCAGUAGGGCCCAUGUGAAACUCCUUCGACGAGUCGAGUUGUUUGGGAAUGCAGCUCAAAAUGGGUGGUAAAUUUCAUCUAAAGCUAAAUAUUGGCCAGAGACCGAUAGCGCACAAGUAGAGUGAUCGAAAGAUGAAAAGCACUUUGAAAAGAGAGUUAAACAGUACGUGAAAUUGUUGAAAGGGAAGCGCUUGCAACCAGACUUGCGCGCGGCGGUUCCCCCUUCCUUUUGGUUGGGUUAUUCCGCCGUGUCCAGGCCAACAUCGGUUCUGGGGGUCGGUUAAAGGCCUGGGGAAUGUAUCUACCCUUCGGGCGUAGACUUAUAGCCCCGGGUGUCAUGCGACCUCCCGGGACCGAGGAACGCGCUUCGGCUCGGAUGUUGGCGUAAUGGUUGUCAGCGACCCGUCUUGAAACACGGACCAAGGAGUCUAACAUCUAUGCGAGUGUUUGGGUGUCAAACCCGGAACGCGGAAUGAAAGUGAACGGAGGUAGGAAGCUUCGGCUGCACUAUCGACCGAUCCUGAUGUCUUCGGAUGGAUUUGAGUAAGAGCAUAGCUGUUGGGACCCGAAAGAUGGUGAACUAUGCCUGAAUAGGGUGAAGCCAGAGGAAACUCUGGUGGAGGCUCGCAGCGGUUCUGACGUGCAAAUCGAUCGUCAAAUUUGGGUAUAGGGGCGAAAGACUAAUCGAACCAUUAAAAAGUUACCGGUGGUUAAGUGUAACCGUGAAAGCGGUUGCAAGUGCCAGGUUCUGGCGCGACACUGUCAAUUGCGGGGACUCCCUAAGCUUCCGACGACCGCCUCGCCCACGAAAGUGGGAGUGAGGCACAGGUUAAUGGCCUCGGGUAUGGUAAACUGUCGA
RNAcentral lists this ribosomal RNA (1014 nucleotides) under Exophiala dermatitidis. Its description in RNAcentral is "LSU rRNA". The stretch from base 1 to 573 matches the Rfam family "Eukaryotic large subunit ribosomal RNA", at positions 80 to 664 of the family's 3401-position model. The record is from RNAcentral. Lineage: Eukaryota; Fungi; Ascomycota; Eurotiomycetes; Chaetothyriales; Herpotrichiellaceae.